Molecule: ribosomal RNA, 301 nt
Filed under: uncultured bacterium
Lineage: Bacteria
Description: partial 16S ribosomal RNA
Rfam family: Bacterial small subunit ribosomal RNA
Source: RNAcentral
CAGCCGCCACGGGAACACGGAGGGUGCAAGCGUUAAUCGGAAUUACUGGGCGUAAAGCGUGCGUAGGCGGUUCGUUAAGUCUGUUGUGAAAGCCCCGGGCUCAACCUGGGAAUGGCAAUGGAUACUGGCGAGCUAGAGUGUGUCAGAGGAUGGUGGAAUUCCCGGUGUAGCGGUGAAAUGCGUAGAGAUCGGGAGGAACAUCAGUGGCGAAGGCGGCCACCUGGGACAACACUGACGCUGAGGUGCGAAAGCGUGGGGAGCAAACAGGAUUAGAUACCCGUGUAGUCCCUGUCUCUUAUAC